Molecule: ribosomal RNA, 466 nt
Filed under: uncultured bacterium
Lineage: Bacteria
Description: partial 16S ribosomal RNA
Rfam family: Bacterial small subunit ribosomal RNA
Source: RNAcentral
GACGAACGCUGGCGGCGUGCUUAACACAUGCAAGUCGAACGAUGACGACCGAGCUUGCUCGGUCUGAUUAGUGGCGAACGGGUGAGUAACACGUGAGCAACCUGCCCUUCACUCUGGGAUAACCUCGGGAAAUCGGGGCUAAUACCGGAUAUGAGCUCCUGUCGCAUGGCGGGUGUUGGAAAGUUUUUCGGUGAAGGAUGGGCUCGCGGCCUAUCAGUUUGUUGGUGAGGUAGUGGCUCACCAAGGCGAUGACGGGUAGCCGGCCUGAGAGGGCGACCGGCCACACUGGGACUGAGACACGGCCCAGACUCCUACGGGAGGCAGCGGUGGGGAAUAUUGCACAAUGGGCGAAAGCCUGAUGCAGCGACGCCGCGUGAGGGAUGACGGCCUUCGGGUUGUAAACCUCUUUCAGCAGGGAAGAAGCGAAAGUGACGGUACCUGCAGAAGAAGCGCCGGCGAACUACGU